This is a long non-coding RNA of Coturnix japonica (Japanese quail), 2498 nucleotides long. Ensembl lists it as uncharacterized. NCBI's taxonomy places the organism in Eukaryota, Metazoa, Chordata, Aves, Galliformes, Phasianidae. The record is from Ensembl.
GCCGCUGGAGGCGGAGCCAGAGCUGGAGGCGGCCGUCGCCAUGGGAACAGAACCGGAAGUGCUGGCAGCGACUCGUGCCCUCUGCCGGAUGCGGGAGGAAGCCAUGAUGGAAAUGACGAAGCCACGCCCACUUCCGGAGUAAGCCCCGCCCCCUCACCUGUCAAUCAUCUAUUGCUCAUUAUGUGCCUCAUUUACAUCAUUAAUUAAUUAACCAUAUGCUAAUUUGUUAUUAUUUUCUUUUAAUUUAUGGUUACUUAGAGUGUUCUUGGUGCGUUUCUGGUUAACAAUCUCUUCUCUCACUAAUUAAGGAUUAAUUGCUGUUAAUUGGCUGCUCCUCAUUAGCAGUUAUUAAUUGGCUGCCCCUAAUUAACUAAUUAAUCCAAAUUAACUAAUUAAUUGCCAUUAAUUACUUACAGGAAGCAGCGUCUGCUGGCGGCAUCCAACCAGCAAUGGCUGCAGGCGGCUCAGGUAUGACCUCACUUCCUGUCCCGUCUGUGAUGUCACUUCCUGUAUCCAUGACGUCACUUCCUGUCUCAGUGUGACGUCACUUCCUGUCUCAGUGUGACGUCACUUCCUGCCACCGUUCCCACGUCCCCCUCGGUCUCUUCCUGUCUCAUUUCUGACAUCACUUCCUGUAUUGGAUGACGUCACUUCCUGCUUCCUUUCAAGUCACUUCCUUCCUGCCCCCAUGUCACUUCCUGUCCUCUUAGUGACGUCACUUCCUGCUCCACUUCCUGUUUCACAUCCUCACUCUUUCAGGUCACUUCCUGCCUCUAUGACGUCACUUCCUGUUUUCAUGACAUCACUUCCUGCCCCUAUGACGUCACUUCCUGCCUCUAUGACGUCACUUCCUGUCUUCAUGACAUCACUUCCUGCCCCUAUGACGUCACUUCCUGCCUCUCUGACAUCACUUCCUGUCUUCAUGACAUCACUUCCUGCCCCUGUGACACCACUUCCUGUCUCUAUGACAUCACUUCUUUUGUGUGUGACAUCACUUUCUGUCUCCAUUACAUCACUUCCUGUCUGGAUGACGUCACUUCCUGCCUCCAUUACAUCACUUCCUGCCUUUAUGACGUCACUUCCUACCUCUAUGACAUCACUUCCUGUCUCCAUAACAUCACUUCUUGUCUCCGUGACGUCACUUCCUGUCUGGAUGACAUCACUUCCUGUCUCCAUUACGUCACUUCCUGUCACAUCACUUCCUGCCUCCAUAACACCACUUCCUGUCUUCAUGACAUCACUUCCUGCCUCCAUAACAUCACUUCCUGCCUCCAUAACAUCACUUCCUGCCUCCAUGACGUCACUUCCUGUCUCCAUGACGUCACUUCCUGUUCUGAUGACGUCACUUCCUGUCCAGGAGCUCCUUGGCCGCCAUUCCCCGCGCUCUGUGCUGUGGGCUCUGAGUCACAUGACCAAGGAAUCCAUCCGGGAGCUGCAGGCCCCGCCCAGGAUUGUUGGAACACAGUGGGGGGGCUUUGGGCCCUGGCCCCCCCCAUAGCGGCUCGGCUGCCCCACAUGAGACAACGACUGCGGGACAUACAGGAACAGAUGGGGGAGGAGACAAGGUCUGACCCAUAAGUGACACCCCAGCCCCAUAAGUGACCACAUAGACCCAUAAGUGACCCCAUAGACCUAUAAGUGACACCCCAGCCCCAUAAGUGACCCCAUAGACCCAUAAGUGACCCCAUAGACCCAUAAAUGACCCCAUAGACCCAUAACUGCCCCCCCAAACCCAUAAAUAACCCCCAGCCCCAUAACUGUCCCCCCAGCCCCAUAAGUGCCCCACCCCAGCCCCAUAAGUGACCCCAUAGACCCAUAACUGCCCCCCCAGCCCCAUAACUAGCCCCCAGCCCCAUAAGUGCCCCCCCCCAGCCCCAUAAGUGACCCCAAAGACCCACAAGUGACACCCCAUACCCAUAAAGUGCCUUUCCAGCCCCAUAAGUGACCCCACCAGCCCCAUAUGUGUCCUUCCAGCCCCAUAAGUGACCCCUUCAGCCCCAUAAGUUACCCCCCAGCCCCAUAGGUGCCCUUCCAGCCCCAUAAGUGCCCCCCCCCAGCCCCAUAAGUGCCCUUCCAGCCCCAUAAGUGACCCACCAGCCCCAUAAGUGACACCUUCAGACCCAUAAGUGACACCUUCAGCCCCAUAAGUGCCCUUCAAGCCCCAUAAGUGCCUUUCCAGCCCCAUAAGUGACACCUUCAGCCCCAUAAGUGACACCUUCAGCUCCAUAAGUGACCUACAAGCCCCAUAAGUGCCUUCCCCAGCCCCAUAAGUGACCUCCCCAGCCCCAUAAGUGCCCUUCCAGCCCCAGAAGUGCCCUUCCAGCCCCAUAAGUGACCCCCCCAGCCCCAUAAGUGCCUUUCCAGCCCCAUAAGUGACCCCUUCAGCCCCAUAAGUGCCCCCCCAGGCCCCAUAAGUGACCUUCUAGCCCCAUAAGUGCCCCCUUCAGCCCCAUAAGUGACCCCCCCUGCCCCAUAAGUGCCCUUCCAGCCCCAUAAGU